CAGAGAUGAAGCAAACAGCCACAGUGUGAACUGUUUGUGGGAAGGAACAGCCUCUAGGAGAGGAGGGGCCACAGCCCUACAACCACAAAAAACUGAAUUCUGCCAAAAUUCAAUGAGCUGGAAAAAGAACUCCAAGCCUGGGAUGAGAUCCAGACCCAACUGACACCUUGAUUUCAUCCUGGUGAACCCUGAGCAGAGGAUCUGGUUGUGCUGUGCCCAGAAUUCUGACCAAGGAAUUGGCUCACGUGAUUAUAGAGGCCGAGAAAUCCUAAGAACUGCAGUUGGCAAGAUGGAGACCCAGGAGAGCCAACAGUAUAAGUUCUAGGGCCCCAUCCAGGAUUAUACAUUGCAUUAAGUCAUCGUAUCACCUUGGGCUCCUCUGGGCUGUGACUGGCUCACCAUGCUUCCUUGUCUUUGAUGCCCUCGAUAGUUUGGAGCAGUGCUGAUUGGGUAUUUUGUGGAAUCUCCUUCAGUUUAGAAAACAUUCCUUGCCUGGUGCCCUGACCGUUGCUGAAACCAUUCCUUGAAACGUCUCUACCUGCUGAUGUCAAUCCGCCCAACAUCCAUGCAGUUGGAUAGCUGUGUGCUGCUGCAACCUUUUGUGAGUGGGGGGAGUUUUAUUUUAAAUAGUUAUCUCUGGCCGGGCGUGGUGGCUCAUGCUUGUCAUCUCAGCACAUUGCGAGGCUGAGGUGGGUGGAUCACUUGAGGUCGAGAGUUCGAGACCAACCUGGCCAACACGGUGAAACUCCAUCUGUACUGAAAAUACAAAAAUUAGCCAGGCAUGGUGGCGCACGCCUGUAAUCCCAGCUACUUGGGAAGCUGAAACACAAGAAUUGCUUGAACCUGGGAGAUGGAGGUUGCAGUGAGCUGAGAUUGCGUCACUGUACUCCAGCCUGGGCGACAGAGCAGACUCCAUCUCAAAUAAAUAAAUAAAUACACAAA
Molecule: long non-coding RNA, 942 nt
Filed under: Homo sapiens (human)
Lineage: Eukaryota; Metazoa; Chordata; Mammalia; Primates; Hominidae
Description: HSALNT0280074
Source: RNAcentral